This 497-nucleotide ribosomal RNA is filed under the name uncultured bacterium. RNAcentral describes it as "partial 16S ribosomal RNA". It matches the Rfam family "Bacterial small subunit ribosomal RNA", at positions 28 to 507 of the family's 1533-position model. The record is from RNAcentral.
GAUGAACGCUGGCGGCGUGCCUAAUACAUGCAAGUCGAGCGAAAAGAUGAGGAGCUUGCUCCUCUGACGUUAGCGGCGGACGGGUGAGUAACACGUGGAUAACCUACCUAUAAGACUGGGAUAACUUCGGGAAACCGGAGCUAAUACCGGAUAAUAUAUUGAACCGCAUGGUUCAAUAGUGAAAGACGGUUUUGCUGUCACUUAUAGCUGGAUCCGCGCCGGAUUAGCUAGUUGGUAAGGUAACGGCUUACCAAGGCAACGAUGCGUAGCCGACCUGAGAGGGUGAUCGGCCACACUGGAACUGAGACACGGUCCAGACUCCUACGGGAGGCAGCAGUAGGGAAUAUUCCGCAAUGGGCGAAAGCCUGACGGAGCAACGCCGCGUGAGUGAUGAAGGUCUUCGGAUCGUAAAACUCUGUUAUUAGGGAAGAACAAAUGUGUAAGUAACUAUGCACGUCUUGACGGUACCUAAUCAGAAAGCCACGGCUAACUACGUG